ACAACAAGUGAAGACAGGCUGGAAGUGUCUUUCUAGUGGCCUCCUGACUGCUCCAGUUUUGUCCAGUCGAGAUGAGAAAGGCAGGCACCAUGCCCAAGCAUGUCAGCUGAACUGUUCCGACCAUGGCCACUGUGACUCGUUCACCAAACGCUGUAUCUGUGACCCUUUUUGGAUGGAGAAUUUCAUCAAGGUGCAGCUGAGGGAUGGAGACAGCAACUGUGAGUGGAGCGUGUUAUAUGUUAUCAUUGCUACCUUUGUCAUUGUUGUUGCCUUGGGAAUCCUGUCUUGGAC
This 291-nucleotide long non-coding RNA is filed under the name Homo sapiens (human). RNAcentral describes it as "HSALNT0004814". The record is from RNAcentral. Lineage: Eukaryota; Metazoa; Chordata; Mammalia; Primates; Hominidae.